This 1382-nucleotide ribosomal RNA is filed under the name uncultured Planctomycetota bacterium. RNAcentral's name for it is "uncultured planctomycete 16S ribosomal RNA". It matches the Rfam family "Bacterial small subunit ribosomal RNA", at positions 13 to 1383 of the family's 1533-position model. Lineage: Bacteria; Pseudomonadati; Planctomycetota. The record is from RNAcentral.
UUGAUCCUGGCUCAGAAUGAACGCUGGCGGCAUGGCUAAGACAUGCAAGUCGAACGGACCAUAUAAUUGGGUAACCGAAAGUAUGGUUAGUGGCGAAAGGGUGAGGAAUAGAUAGGAACGUACCCUGUGCUCUGGGAUAGCGUCUGAAGCUUCGGCUUCUUCCGAAAGGGGCGGUAAUACCAGAUAAUGUCCUUCGGGACCAAAGAUUUAUCGGCAUUGGAGCGGCCUAUCUCCUAUCAGCUUGUUGGUGAGGUAACGGCUCACCAAGGCAACGACGGGUAGCGGGACUGAGAGGUUGGCCCGCCACAUCGGGACUGAGACACUGUCCGGACCUCCACGGAGGGCUGCAGUAACGGAUAUUGGGCAAUGGGCGAAAGCCUGACCCAGCAAUGCCGCGUGAUGGAUGAAGCCCCUAGGGGUGUAAACUGCUGUCAGGGGUCAGAAAGCUGGUUUCGGUCAUCUGAUCAUCCCCAGAGGAAGUCACGGCUAAUUUCGUGCCAGCAGCCGCGGUAAUACGAAGGUGGCAAGCGUUAUUCGGAAUCAUUGGGCUUAAAGGGCACGCAGGCGGAACAGUGUGUGUUGUGUGAAAUCCCCCCGGCUUAACCGGGGAAUUGCACAGCAAACUGCUGUUCUUGAGGCAGGUAGGGGUGCAUGGAACUCUUGGUGGAGCGGUGGAAUGCGUAGAUAUCAAGAGGAACGCCAGAGGUGAAGACGGUGCACUGGGCCUGUCCUGACGCUGAGGUGCGAAAGCGUGGGGAGCGAACGGGAUUAGAUACCCCGGUAGUCCACGCCGUAAACGAUGUCUACUAGGUCGUGGGUGUUCUGACACAUUCACGGCCGGAGCAAAAGUGUUUAGUAGACCGCCUGGGGAGUACGGCCGCAAGGUUAAAACUCAAAUGAAUUGACGGGGGCUCACACAAGCGGUGGAGCAUGUGGAUUAAUUCGAAGCAACGCGCAGAACCUUACCUGGGUUUGACAUGCUUGUAUGCCUUCUCUGAAAGGAGUUAGGUUGCCUUCGGGUGAAACUUGCACAGGUGCUGCAUGGCUGUCGUCAGCUCGUGUCGUGAGAUGUCGGGUUAAGUCCUUUAACGAGCGAAACCCUUGCCGUUAGUUGCCAGCGAGUAAUGUCGGGGACUCUAACGGGACUGCCGGUGUUAAACCGGAGGAAGGUGGGGAUGACGUCAAGUCCUCAUGGCCUUUAUGCCCAGGGCUUCACACGUGCUACAAUGGCAAUUACAGAGCGACGCGAUACCGCGAGGUGGAGCAAAUCGCAAAAAAAUUGCCUCAGUUCGGAUUGCAGGCUGGCAAUUCGCCUGCAUGAAGUCGGAAUCGCUAGCAAUCGCGUAUCAGCAAUGACGCGGUGAAUGUGUUCCUGAGCCUUG